RNAcentral lists this ribosomal RNA (1356 nucleotides) under Termes sp. A TB-2017. RNAcentral describes it as "16S ribosomal RNA". The stretch from base 828 to 1226 matches the Rfam family "Bacterial large subunit ribosomal RNA", at positions 2049 to 2651 of the family's 2925-position model. The record is from RNAcentral. Lineage: Eukaryota; Metazoa; Arthropoda; Insecta; Blattodea; Termitidae.
UAUUUAUUUGUAGUGUUAAGAGUUAUAGUUGAAGUAUCAUUUUAGUUGUUGUAAUUUUUUGAUUUAAUUUUUUAUACGAUAGAUUAUUUGUACUGUAAGGGGUUGUGAUGUUUUAAUGUUUUUUAAGAAGUUGAUUUUGUUUAUCGUACCUUGUGUAUCAGGGUUCAUUGAAUUUUAUUAUUUAUUUUUGUUUCCCGAUUUUAAUGGAGUUAAUGAUUUAUUUUAGUUGUUGUUUCAACAAUAUUAAUAAUAGGUUAUUGGUAAUGAAAUGUUAUUCGUCUUUAAUGGUUUCUGGUUUUUCAAGAAAUGAAUUUAAUUCAUACAUCUUAUUUAAUUUCUGUUGUUUAAAUAUCUUUUUUAUUUGAUGUUAAGAUUAAGGGGGAUUAGCUCCUUGUUUUAUUUUUAUAAUUAUCUUUUUUAUUUAGUUUUGUGGAUUUUAUGGUGAUUUUCAAUUUGAUUAUGUUAAAAUUUUAUUUUUUCUUUUAUUUAUUUAUUGUAGUUUAAUUUGUUUAUUGGAAUGUUUUCUUUAUCUUUGGUUUGUAUAGUAAUUAUUGUGUAAUUAGUAAAUCUUGCUUUUCUACAGUGUAGCGUUCGAUGUUAAUUUCUUUUUAGGAAUUAGGCAAAAUUUUCGUGUCCGCCUGUUUAACAAAAACAUCUUUUCUCGUUAGUUUUUGAAGUAUAGCCUGCCCACUGACAGCGAGUUGAAGGGCCGCGGUAUUUUGACCGUGCAAAGGUAGCAUAAUCAUUAGUUCUUUAAUUGUGAUCUGGUAUGAAUGGCUUGACGAGACACGAGCUGUCUUAAUAGAAUUGUUUAUUGAAUUUGGUCUUUAAGUUAAAAUACUUAAAUGUUUUUAUGGGACGAGAAGACCCUAUAGAGUUUGACAAUUUGCUUAUUUUAUAUUUUAUUAGUUUGUUUCUAUUUAUUUAAUAGGUUAUAUUGUUUUGUUGGGGUGAUGGGAGGAAUAAUUCUAACUCCUCUUUGUUUAGUAUAUUUAUAUAUAUUAUUUUGAUCCAUUAAUUUUGAUUAUAAGAUUAAAUUACCUUAGGGAUAACAGCGUUAUCUUCCUUGAGAGUUCUUAUUGGCAGGAAGGUUUGCGACCUCGAUGUUGGAUUAAGGUGAAUUUUCGGUGCAGGAGCUGAAAUGAUUAGGUCUGUUCGACCUUUAAAAUCUUACAUGAUCUGAGUUCAGACCGGCGUGAGCCAGGUUGGUUUCUAUCUAUUAUAAUGUUUUAUGUCUUAGUACGAGAGGACCGGGCAUUAAGAAUAAUUUUGGUUUAUUAUUUGAUUUUUAUUAAUAUGGUUUACUAUUUUGGCAGAUAAGUGCAUUGGAUUUAGAAUCUAUAAAUGCAAGGAUUA